This 395-nucleotide ribosomal RNA is filed under the name Physarum cf. viride. Its description in RNAcentral is "partial small subunit ribosomal RNA". It matches the Rfam family "Bacterial small subunit ribosomal RNA", at positions 570 to 930 of the family's 1533-position model. Lineage: Eukaryota; Evosea; Eumycetozoa; Physariida; Physaraceae. The record is from RNAcentral.
CGUCGGCGGAUAAUUAAAAUUACAAUAAAAGACUGAGGAAACCCCUCUUUAAGUUGCAUUUACUAAUUAUUUGAGUUUUGAAGGUGGUUUGUUGAAUUCCAGAAGGAAAGGUGAAAUUUGUUGAUAUUGGAAGACAUUCGAUAGCGAAAGCAUAACCAAUUCAAAUCUGACGCUAGGUACUAAAGCAUGGGUAGAAAGAGGAUUAGAGACCUCGUAGUCCAUGCCUUAAACAAUGAGUGUUCAACAUCUUUGGCGUCAAGACAAGCUUAUCUUAUCUAACAGUAAGAUAAUAGUUUCAAGGGUCAUUGGUGAUUUAAAGCUAACGCGAGAAACACCGCCUGGGGAAUGUGGCCGCAAGGUUAAACUCAAAGGAAUUGACGGAGACUUAUACACGG